CCCUUAGAUGUUCUGGGCCGCACGCGCGCUACACUGAUAAUGUCAACAAGCUUUACCUCGGCCGAUAGGUCUGGGCAAUCUUCGAACUAUUAUCGUGAUGGGGCUAGAUUAUUGCAACUAUUAAUCUUAAACGAGGAAUUCCUAGUAAGCGCGAGUCAUCAGCUCGCGUUGAUUACGUCCCUGCCCUUUGUACACACCGCCCGUCGCUCCUACCGAUUGGAUUGGCUGGUGAAGCGUUCGGAUUGUGGGUUCGGAGCGGUUCGCCGUUCUGGGCUUGCGAGAAGUUCGUUAAACCCUCCUAUCUAGAGGAAGGAGAAGUCGUAACA
Molecule: ribosomal RNA, 326 nt
Filed under: uncultured eukaryote
Lineage: Eukaryota
Description: partial 18S ribosomal RNA
Rfam family: Eukaryotic small subunit ribosomal RNA
Source: RNAcentral